Molecule: ribosomal RNA, 660 nt
Filed under: Pseudanabaena limnetica PUPCCC 106.2
Lineage: Bacteria; Bacillati; Cyanobacteriota; Cyanophyceae; Pseudanabaenales; Pseudanabaenaceae
Description: bacterial SSU rRNA
Rfam family: Bacterial small subunit ribosomal RNA
Source: RNAcentral
AACGCGUGAGAAUCUGCCUACAGGUUCGGGACAACAGUUGGAAACGACUGCUAAUACCGGAUGUGCCGAGAGGUAAAAGCUUAAUGUGCCUGUAGAUGAGCUCGCGUCCGAUUAGCUAGUUGGUGAGGUAAGAGCUUACCAAGGCGAUGAUCGGUAGCUGGUCUGAGAGGAUGAUCAGCCACACUGGGACUGAGACACGGCCCAGACUCCUACGGGAGGCAGCAGUGGGGAAUUUUCCGCAAUGGGCGCAAGCCUGACGGAGCAAUACCGCGUGAGGGAGGAAGGCUUUUGGGUCGUAAACCUCUUUUAUUGGGGAAGAAGCACUGACGGUACCCAAUGAAUCAGCAUCGGCUAACUCCGUGCCAGCAGCCGCGGUAAUACGGAGGAUGCAAGCGUUAUCCGGAAUUAUUGGGCGUAAAGCGUCCGCAGGUGGUUAAUCAAGUCUGCUGUUAAAGCGUGCGGCUUAACCGCAUAUCGGCAGUGGAAACUGGUUGACUAGAGUUCGGUAGGGGUCACGGGAAUUCCCAGUGUAGCGGUGAAAUGCGUAGAUAUUGGGAAGAACACCAGCGGCGAAAGCGCGUGACUAGGCCUGAACUGACACUGAGGGACGAAAGCUAGGGGAGCGAAAGGGAUUAGAUACCCCUGUUCUCACGCGUUAUC